GCCGGGGUGGCGGAAUUGGCAGACGCACAGGACUUAAAAUCCUGGGGUUCGCAGGAACCGUGCCGGUUCAAGUCCGGCCCUCGGCACCA
Molecule: transfer RNA, 89 nt
Filed under: Calditerricola satsumensis
Lineage: Bacteria; Bacillati; Bacillota; Bacilli; Caryophanales; Bacillaceae
Also listed under: 1 other name
Description: tRNA-Leu
Rfam family: tRNA
About the family: Transfer RNA (tRNA) molecules are approximately 80 nucleotides in length. Their secondary structure includes four short double-helical elements and three loops (D, anti-codon, and T loops).
Source: RNAcentral